RNAcentral lists this ribosomal RNA (255 nucleotides) under uncultured bacterium. RNAcentral describes it as "partial 16S ribosomal RNA". It matches the Rfam family "Bacterial small subunit ribosomal RNA", at positions 524 to 776 of the family's 1533-position model. The record is from RNAcentral.
UACGAGGGGGGCUAGCGUUGCUCGGAAUUACUGGGCGUAAAGGGCGCGUAGGCGGUUCUGUUAGUCAGGCGUGAAAUUCCUGGGCUCAACCUGGGGGCUGCGCUUGAUACGGCGGAACUAGAGGAUGGAAGAGGCUCGUGGAAUUCCCAGUGUAGAGGUGAAAUUCGUAGAUAUUGGGAAGAACACCGGUGGCGAAGGCGGCGAGCUGGUCCAUUACUGACGGCUGAGGCGCGACAGCGGUGGGGAGCAAACAGG